GACGAACGCUGGCGGCGUGCUUAACACAUGCAAGUCGAACGGAAAGGCCCUGCUUUUGCUGGGUUCUCGAGUGGCGAACGGGUGUGUAACACGUGAGUAUCCUGCCCUUGACUUUGUGAUAACUUCAGGAAACUGCGGAUAAUACCGGAUAGGAGCUCCUGCUGCAUGGUGGUGGUUGGAAAGUUUCGGCGGUUGGGGAUCGACUGGCGGGUUAUCAGCUUGUUGGUGGGGUAGUGGCUUACCCAGGCUUUGACGGGUAGCCGGCCUGAGAGGGUGACCGGCGACAUUGGGACUGAGGGACGGCCCAGACUGCUACGGGAGGCAGCAGGGGGAAAUAUUGCACAAUGAGCGGAAGCCUGAUGCAGAAGCGCCGCGUGCGGGAUGACGGCCUUCGGGGUGUAAACCGCUUUCGCCUGUGACGAAGCGUGAGUGACGGUAAUGGGUAAAGAAGCACCGGCUAACUACGUG
RNAcentral lists this ribosomal RNA (468 nucleotides) under uncultured bacterium. RNAcentral describes it as "partial 16S ribosomal RNA". It matches the Rfam family "Bacterial small subunit ribosomal RNA", at positions 28 to 507 of the family's 1533-position model. The record is from RNAcentral.